UGUGGUCAUCUUCCAUAGCCACAUUUGCGGAAUUGCGUUUCCAUGUGAUUUCUUACAUGUUUAACACGUAGAGUACAAUUCAGGCUCAGGUGGUGUGGCAUCUUGUCUUCUAAAGUAUCUGAAAUUGAAAAUCCAUCAGUGAAGACCGUCUGUGUGCUGCUGCACAAGUGUUCUUAUUUCAGGUAAAUUUAGGACACCCUCAUCCUUGACAAUUUGCAAGACCAAUUGACAGUCCAUCUUCUGCCUGUGGGAAGCCAGAACGGGAAGAGCUUCCAGGCAGGAAGAGGAGGAGAUGAGAGAAGAGGAGGAGCAUAUUUCCUCGGAUAUCACCAAGGUACCAAAAAUGGAAGGAUUUUGUUUUGAGAGGUAGUCCUUCCGGAGCAUGCACAUCUAGAAGCCAAGGAGGCGCUACCUGUCUACUGUAUAUUGGAGCUUCCACAUCCAUGGCCUAAUCACUAGUGCUUGCAGUACAAUUGACAUGUCCAUAAUGCGGUGUCAUGUACUCGUCUUCCGUAGCCACUUAUGCCGAUUUUUUUUCUUGCAGUUACUUACAGGAUUAACACGUGCAGUACAUACAAUUCAAGCUCAGGUGGUGUGGCAUCUGGUGUUGUGACAUAUCUAAAAUUGAAAAUCCAUUGGUGAAGAUCAUCCGUGUGUGGCUGCAGAGCGUGCUAUUCUAUCAGAAGAGCUUCCAGUUCCAGGCAGGAAGAGGAAGAGAGGAAAAGGACUCUUACUCCACUGAAACCAUCGCCGGGUGAAAUGCGUCACCGAGCAGGACAGGAGCGUAUUUCCUCAGAUGUCACCAAGUUAGUUCUUACAGGUUUAACACGUGCAGUACAUAUAAUUCAAGCUCAGGUGGUAUGGCAUAUGGUUUUUUGAAGCAGUAUCUGAAAUUGAAAAUCCAUCAGUGUGCGACCGCAUAGAGUGCUAUUCUAUCAGCCCGAAGGGAAGAUCUUCCAGGCAGGAAAAGAAGGAGAGGAAACGGAUUCCUGCUCUGCUCUACUGAAACUAUUGCCGGGCGAAUGCGGCAACGGACAGGAGCACACUGCCUCUUUCCUCUGAUAUCACCAAGGGGCCAAGUCGAAGGCUCGAGUAUAGAUUCCCUAUGCUCAUGUGAACGGCCGGCCCGUAGAUCUAAAAGGAUCCAAAAAAAGACCGGAUAUGAGAACAACUAACUUUUUUUGUUGAUGGUGCAUUGGAAAAGAGUUUAUGGGCAUUUUUAGUGCACACGAAUUCUCUUCAAAUAUGCGAAAAUUAAACCCUACUGUACAGCUUAUGUUUUUUUAUGCAUGAUAAUACAAACAUGAUAAAAACUCCCCUCUGUCUCAAAAUAUAAGUAAGUGUCUCAAACUGUAAGACGUUUUUCUGAUACAAAGAGAGUAUAAAAAAAUGUCUUAUAUUUUGAGACAGAGGGAGUAAAAACAAACCAUCUAUCCGUUCCCUUCCCGGUUUGUUGGCAACAUGGUUCUUUUUCAUCUGGAGGAUUGUUGAGGCUGUAGGAAUUGAACCCCGGAAUAAAUCUCAUUUUUGUGUCAACUUUUUUAGUUUACAGCAAGUUUAAAUUCCGCAUAUUUCCUUUUGUAUAGUUGCAUUCAAGGGUAUUUUAGGCUACUAGCUCCUGGA
This is a non-coding RNA of Triticum urartu, 1623 nucleotides long. The record is from RefSeq and is a predicted model, not a curated record. Lineage: Eukaryota; Viridiplantae; Streptophyta; Magnoliopsida; Poales; Poaceae.